AUAACGAACCCUCUAAGUACACAGCCGUUUGCAGUUUACAUUUUAAUGCUGAUGAUUACUCAAAAAGACCUGGCAUGUAUGUAAAACGUUUAAAACCAGAUGCAGUACCAACUAUAAUUGUAAAAGGAGCUGCACGUGUUAUGCCAAUAGUUAAACAAGAAAUAAAUGUUACAAACAUUGAUGGGCCAUCACCUAGUUCCAACAACAUAAUGGACCCAUUAGGAGCCAUUUGUAGCAGAUAACACAGAUGUAUUAACAGAUUGUAUUGUUUUGCCAAUUGAAUCAGCUGAAAAUAAGGAACAGCUUGAAGUAAAUUCUGAUGACGAACCACCCAAAAGGAGAAAUACCAGUGACACACCACAGAAGGAGAAACUCAAAUGUAUUGUGAAGAUCCUCCGGCAAAAAAUCUUGCAACAGGGAAAAAACGGCAGAAGUACUUGACAUACCGAGACUACAUCUCAGUACUGAUGCUAGAAAAAAAUGAUCAUGGGUACCAUCAACGGAGCCAAUAACGGAGGUUUAAUUAUUCCGUCUCAGAGCGUAAAUUCAAUUAUGUGACACACGAGACGCGACAAGGCAAGACGAAGACAAGACAAGGAGGAUACAUAGCUCGCACGAUCAAUAUGUAUAUACAAACGCGAUAGGGGUACCGUCGAGCACGGAGACGAGGGGGAACAAAACGCAAACCGUGAGCCACCUAUUUACGCCAUACAAAUGACUACGUUAUCGACGCUGAUCGAACAAAAUCCAUUGGUAAAGUUUUUAUUUAAAUUGCCUCGUACAGUCUCGCAGUUUUUUAUUAUGUAUAUCCCGUGCGCACGCCUGCUGUUUCAGUUGCUGACUUCUUUGGUUUUCGGGAAGUAUAUUAAUA
Molecule: long non-coding RNA, 871 nt
Organism: Dufourea novaeangliae
Lineage: Eukaryota; Metazoa; Arthropoda; Insecta; Hymenoptera; Halictidae
Exons: 3
Source: RefSeq, a predicted model, not a curated record